This is a non-coding RNA of Paramuricea clavata, 404 nucleotides long. The record is from the annotation of a GenBank genome assembly. NCBI's taxonomy places the organism in Eukaryota, Metazoa, Cnidaria, Anthozoa, Malacalcyonacea, Plexauridae.
GAAUUGGGUGCUCCAAAGAAAUUUACACAGGAACAAAUUUUUGAAGGUAUUAAGAAGGAAUACCAACAAAGGCUACAAACUAAUGAUAUUAUUAAGAGCGAUCCUAACACUCUGUGCGAUGAAUAUUGGAAAGAUGACAUUCAAACAUGGCCACAUCUUGAUGAUGGAAUGCUACAUUCUACGAGUAAAGGCAGUGGAUGUUGAAUAUAUUGGCAAAUACAAAGAUGAGAGGGCCUACUCAUAUUGGAUGAGUGGAUUUGUUGAUAUAAUUUAUGUUGCCAAAUGCCCCAUUGACAAGACCAUGACAUUUUUUUGUAAAGCUCAGUAUGUCCAUCACGAAGGAUUUAUGAUGACUCACAUAUAAAAGUGUGGAUGUGUGUCCUUGAACAGCUGGAACAGUUGGC